GACGAACGCUGGCGGCGUGCUUAACACAUGCAAGUCGAACGGAAAGGCCCUGCUUUUGUGGGGUGCUCGAGUGGCGAACGGGUGAGUAACACGUGAGUAACCUGCCCUUGACUUUGGGAUAACUUCAGGAAACUGGGGCUAAUACCGGAUAGGAGCUCCUGCUGCAUGGUGGGGGUUGGAAAGUUUCGGCGGUUGGGGAUGGACUCGCGGCUUAUCAGCUUGUUGGUGGGGUAGUGGCUUACCAAGGCUUUGACGGGUAGCCGGCCUGAGAGGGUGACCGGCCACAUUGGGACUGAGGUACGGCCCAGACUCCUACGGGAGGCAGCAGUGGGGAAUAUUGCACAAUGGGCGGAAGCCUGAUGCAGCAACGCCGCGUGCGGGAUGACGGCCUUCGGGUUGGAAACCGCUUUCGCCUGUGACGAAGCGUGAGUGACGGUAAUGGGUAAAGGAGCACCGGCUAACUACGGG
This 468-nucleotide ribosomal RNA is filed under the name uncultured bacterium. Its description in RNAcentral is "partial 16S ribosomal RNA". It matches the Rfam family "Bacterial small subunit ribosomal RNA", at positions 28 to 507 of the family's 1533-position model. The record is from RNAcentral.